UACGUAGGGGGCAAGCGUUGUCCGGAAUCAUUGGGCGUAAAGCGCGCGUAGGCGGCCCGGUAAGUCCGCUGUAAAAGUCCAGGGCUCAACCCUGGAAAGCCGGUGGAUACUGUCGGGCUAGAGUCCGGAAGAGGCGAGUGGAAUUCCUGGUGUAGCGGUGGAAUGCGCAGAUAUCAGGAGGAACACCGAUGGCGAAGGCAGCUCGCUGGGACGGUACUGACGCUGAUGCGCGAAAGCUAGGGGAGCGAACGGG
Molecule: ribosomal RNA, 253 nt
Filed under: uncultured bacterium
Lineage: Bacteria
Description: partial 16S ribosomal RNA
Rfam family: Bacterial small subunit ribosomal RNA
Source: RNAcentral